AGUGAACGCUGGCGGUAGGCCUAACACAUGCAAGUCGAACGGCAGCACAGUAAGAGCUUGCUCUUACGGGUGGCGAGUGGCGGACGGGUGAGGAAUACAUCGGAAUCUACUUUUUCGUGGGGGAUAACGUAGGGAAACUUACGCUAAUACCGCAUACGACCUACGGGUGAAAGCAGGGGAUCUUCGGACCUUGCGCGAUUGAAUGAGCCGAUGUCGGAUUAGCUAGUUGGCGGGGUAAAGGCCCACCAAGGCGACGAUCCGUAGGUGGUCUGAGAGGAUGGACAGGCACACUGGAACUGAGACACGGUCCAGACUCCUACGGGAGGCAGCAGUGGGGAAUAUUGGACAAUGGGCGCAAGCCUGAUCCAGCCAUACCGCGUGGGUGAAGAAGGCCUUCGGGUUGUAAAGCCCUUUUGUUGGGAAAGAAAAGCAGCAGGUUAAUACCCCGCUGUUCUGACGGUACCCAAAGAAUAAGCACCGGCUAACUUCGUG
This 492-nucleotide ribosomal RNA is filed under the name uncultured bacterium. RNAcentral's name for it is "partial 16S ribosomal RNA". It matches the Rfam family "Bacterial small subunit ribosomal RNA", at positions 29 to 507 of the family's 1533-position model. The record is from RNAcentral.